GACGAACGCUGGCGGCGUGCUUAACACAUGCAAGUCGAGCGGUAAGGCCCUUUCGGGGGUACGACGAGCGGCGAACGGGUGAGUAACACGUGGGUGACCUGCCCUCAGCUCUGGGAUAAGCCUGGGAAACCGGGUCUAAUACUGGAUAUGACUCCAUGACGCAUGUUGGUGGGGUGGAAAGCCUUGUGCGGCUGAGGAUCGGGCCCGCGGCCUAUCAGCUUGUUGGGUGGGGUGANGGCCUACCAAGGCGACGACGGGUAGCCGGCCUGAGAGGGCGACCGGCCACACUGGGACUGAGACAC
RNAcentral lists this ribosomal RNA (302 nucleotides) under uncultured bacterium. Its description in RNAcentral is "bacterial SSU rRNA". It matches the Rfam family "Bacterial small subunit ribosomal RNA", at positions 28 to 327 of the family's 1533-position model. The record is from RNAcentral.